AGAGUUUGAUCCUGGCUCAGAAUGAACGCUGGCGGCGUGCUUUACACAUGCAAGUCGAACGAGAAAGUCCUUCGGGACAAGUAGAGUGGCGAACGGGUGCGUAACGCGUAAGAAUCUACCCAUUAGUGAAGAAUACCUCCGAGAAAUCGGGGUUAAUACUGCAUACGUCCCUUCGGGGAGAAAGGUGGCCUCUUGCUACCGCUGAUGGAUGAGCUUGCGUGCUAUUAGCUUGUUGGUGAGGUAAAGGCUCACCAAGGCUCAGAUGGCUAGCCGACCUGAGAGGGUGGUCGGCCACAUUGGGACUGAGAUACGGCCCAGACUCCUACGGGAGGCAGCAGUGGGGAAUAUUGCACAAUGGGCGAAAGCCUGAUGCAGCGACGCCGCGUGAGUGAAGAAGGCCUUAGGGUUGUAAAACUCUUUCGCCAGGGAAGAUAAUGACGGUACCUGUAAAGAAGCCCCGCCAACU
Molecule: ribosomal RNA, 466 nt
Filed under: uncultured bacterium
Lineage: Bacteria
Description: bacterial SSU rRNA
Rfam family: Bacterial small subunit ribosomal RNA
Source: RNAcentral